RNAcentral lists this ribosomal RNA (459 nucleotides) under uncultured bacterium. RNAcentral describes it as "SSU rRNA". It matches the Rfam family "Bacterial small subunit ribosomal RNA", at positions 26 to 518 of the family's 1533-position model. The record is from RNAcentral.
AGAAUCAACGCUGGCGGCGUGCCUAACACAUGCAAGUCGCACGAGAAAGGGGAGCAAUCCCUGAGUAAAGUGGCGCACGGGUGAGUAACACGUGAAUAAUCUACCUCCGAGUGGGGAAUAACUGAGAGAAAUCUUAGCUAAUACCGCAUAACACUUACGAGUCAAAGCAGCAAUGCGCUUGGAGAGGAGUUCGCGGCCGAUUAGUUAGUUGGCGUGGUAAUGGCCCACCAAGACGAUGAUCGGUAUCCGGCCUGAGAGGGCGCACGGACACACUGGAACUGAAACACGGUCCAGACUCCUACGGGAGGCAGCAGUGGGGAAUUUUGCGCAAUGGGGGAAACCCUGACGCAGCAACGCCGCGUGGAGGAUGAAGCCCCUUGGGGUGUAAACUCCUUUCGAUCGGGAAGAUAAUGACGGUACCGAUAUAAGAAGCCCGGCUAACUUCGCGCCAGCAGCCGC